ACGGACGCUGGCGGCGUGCUUAGCACAUGCCAGUCGAACGGAAAGGCCCUGCUUUUGUGGGGUGCUCGAGUGGCGAACGGGUGAGUAACACGUGAGUAACCUGCCCUUGACUUUGGGAUAACUUCAGGAAACUGGGGCUAAUACCGGAUAGGAGCUCCUGCUGCAUGGUGGGGGUUGGAAAGUUUCGGCGGUUGGGGAUGGACUCGCGGCUUAUCAGCUUGUUGGUGGGGUAGUGGCUUACCAAGGCUUUGACGGGUAGCCGGCCUGAGAGGGUGACCGGCCACAUUGGGACUGAGAUACGGCCCAGACUCCUACGGGAGGCAGCAGUGGGGAAUAUUGCACAAUGGGCGGAAGCCUGAUGCAGCAACGCCGCGUGCGGGAUGACGGCCUUCGGGUUGUAAACCGCUUUCGCCUGUGACGAAGCGUGAGUGACGGUAAUGGGUAAAGAAGCACCGGCUAACUACGUG
RNAcentral lists this ribosomal RNA (467 nucleotides) under uncultured bacterium. Its description in RNAcentral is "partial 16S ribosomal RNA". It matches the Rfam family "Bacterial small subunit ribosomal RNA", at positions 29 to 507 of the family's 1533-position model. The record is from RNAcentral.